CGUGCGAUACAGGGUGACAGCCCCGUACACAAAAAUGCACAUACUGUGAGCUCGAUGAGUAGGGCGGGACACGUGGUAUCCUGUCUGAAUAUGGGGGGACCAUCCUCCAAGGCUAAAUACUCCUGACUGACCGAUAGUGAACCAGUACCGUGAGGGAAAGGCGAAAAGAACCCCGGCGAGGGGAGUGAAAAAGAACCUGAAACCGUGUACGUACAAGCAGUGGGAGCACGCUUAGGCGUGUGACUGCGUACCUUUUGUAUAAUGGGUCAGCGACUUAUAUUCUGUAGCAAGGUUAACCGAAUAGGGGAGCCGAAGGGAAACCGAGUCUUAACUGGGCGUUAAGUUGCAGGGUAUAGACCCGAAACCCGGUGAUCUAGCCAUGGGCAGGUUGAAGGUUGGGUAACACUAACUGGAGGACCGAACCGACUAAUGUUGAAAAAUUAGCGGAUGACUUGUGGCUGGGGGUGAAAGGCCAAUCAAACCGGGAGAUAGCUGGUUCUCCCCGAAAGCUAUUUAGGUAGCGCCUCGUGAAUUCAUCUCCGGGGGUAGAGCACUGUUUCGGCAAGGGGGUCAUCCCGACUUACCAACCCGAUGCAAACUGCGAAUACCGGAGAAUGUUAUCACGGGAGACACACGGCGGGUGCUAACGUCCGUCGUGAAGAGGGAAACAACCCAGACCGCCAGCUAAGGUCCCAAAGUCAUGGUUAAGUGGGAAACGAUGUGGGAAGGCCCAGACAGCCAGGAUGUUGGCUUAGAAGCAGCCAUCAUUUAAAGAAAGCGUAAUAGCUCACUGGUCGAGUCGGCCUGCGCGGAAGAUGUAACGGGGCUAAACCAUGCACCGAAGCUGCGGCAGCGACGCUUAUGCGUUGUUGGGUAGGGGAGCGUUCUGUAAGCCUGUGAAGGUGUGCUGUGAGGUAUGCUGGAGGUAUCAGAAGUGCGAAUGCUGACAUAAGUAACGAUAAAGCGGGUGAAAAGCCCGCUCGCCGGAAGACCAAGGGUUCCUGUCCAACGUUAAUCGGGGCAGGGUGAGUCGACCCCUAAGGCGAGGCCGAAAGGCGUAGUCGAUGGGAAACAGGUUAAUAUUCCUGUACUUGGUGUUACUGCGAAGGGGGGACGGAGAAGGCUAUGUUGGCCGGGCGACGGUUGUCCCGGUUUAAGCGUGUAGGCUGGUUUUCCAGGCAAAUCCGGAAAAUCAAGGCCGAGGCGUGAUGACGAGGCACUACGGUGCUGAAGCAACAAAUGCCCUGCUUCCAGGAAAAGCCUCUAAGCAUCAGGUAACAUCAAAUCGUACCCCAAACCGACACAGGUGGUCAGGUAGAGAAUACCAAGGCGCUUGAGAGAACUCGGGUGAAGGAACUAGGCAAAAUGGUGCCGUAACUUCGGGAGAAGGCACGCUGAUACGUAGGUGAAGCGACUUGCUCGUGGAGCUGAAAUCAGUCGAAGAUACCAGCUGGCUGCAACUGUUUAUUAAAAACACAGCACUGUGCAAACACGAAAGUGGACGUAUACGGUGUGACGCCUGCCCGGUGCCGGAAGGUUAAUUGAUGGGGUUAGCGCAAGCGAAGCUCUUGAUCGAAGCCCCGGUAAACGGCGGCCGUAACUAUAACGGUCCUAAGGUAGCGAAAUUCCUUGUCGGGUAAGUUCCGACCUGCACGAAUGGCGUAAUGAUGGCCAGGCUGUCUCCACCCGAGACUCAGUGAAAUUGAACUCGCUGUGAAGAUGCAGUGUACCCGCGGCAAGACGGAAAGACCCCGUGAACCUUUACUAUAGCUUGACACUGAACAUUGAGCCUUGAUGUGUAGGAUAGGUGGGAGGCUUUGAAGUGUGGACGCCAGUCUGCAUGGAGCCGACCUUGAAAUACCACCCUUUAAUGUUUGAUGUUCUAACGUGGACCCGUGAUCCGGGUUGCGGACAGUGUCUGGUGGGUAGUUUGACUGGGGCGGUCUCCUCCUAAAGAGUAACGGAGGAGCACGAAGGUUGGCUAAUCCUGGUCGGACAUCAGGAGGUUAGUGCAAUGGCAUAAGCCAGCUUGACUGCGAGCGUGACGGCGCGAGCAGGUGCGAAAGCAGGUCAUAGUGAUCCGGUGGUUCUGAAUGGAAGGGCCAUCGCUCAACGGAUAAAAGGUACUCCGGGGAUAACAGGCUGAUACCGCCCAAGAGUUCAUAUCGACGGCGGUGUUUGGCACCUCGAUGUCGGCUCAUCACAUCCUGGGGCUGAAGUAGGUCCCAAGGGUAUGGCUGUUCGCCAUUUAAAGUGGUACGCGAGCUGGGUUUAGAACGUCGUGAGACAGUUCGGUCCCUAUCUGCCGUGGGCGCUGGAGAACUGAGGGGGGCUGCUCCUAGUACGAGAGGACCGGAGUGGACGCAUCACUGGUGUUCGGGUUGUCAUGCCAAUGGCACUGCCCGGUAGCUAAAUGCGGAAGAGAUAAGUGCUGAAAGCAUCUAAGCACGAAACUUGCCCCGAGAUGAGUUCUCCCUGACCCUUUAAGGGUCCUGAAGGAACGUUGAAGACGACGACGUUGAUAGGCCGGGUGUGUAAGCGCAGCGAUGCGUUGAGCUAACCGGUACUAAUGAACCGUGAGGCUUAACCUUACAACGCCGAAG
RNAcentral lists this ribosomal RNA (2603 nucleotides) under Shigella flexneri. RNAcentral's name for it is "partial 23S ribosomal RNA". It matches the Rfam family "Bacterial large subunit ribosomal RNA", at positions 351 to 2925 of the family's 2925-position model. The record is from RNAcentral. Lineage: Bacteria; Pseudomonadati; Pseudomonadota; Gammaproteobacteria; Enterobacterales; Enterobacteriaceae.